RNAcentral lists this long non-coding RNA (229 nucleotides) under Lathyrus oleraceus (garden pea). Its description in RNAcentral is "Pisum sativum (pea) long non-coding RNA (PSAT_LNC007519)". The record is from RNAcentral. Lineage: Eukaryota; Viridiplantae; Streptophyta; Magnoliopsida; Fabales; Fabaceae.
UUAUUUUCAUUAUUUAAUUGUUCUUGAUUUUAAUGUGUUUUUGUGUAUUGACGAAUGCAUGAAUCGAUAACAAAUGACUAGGGAUUAUUGACCGUAAGUCUACCGAUACGAUCCUGGAAAAUUAUUCAACUUUGUAAUUAACUAGGAAUAGGUAAUUAUAAGUUGUGACUUUUAAAUUAACGCACUUAGAACGCCUAAUUUAACUCAGAAAUGACCUAAGGAAUUAGAG